AAAGUAGCUUGCUACUUUUGCCGGCGAGCGGCGGACGGGUGAGUAAUGCCUGGGGAUCUGCCCAGUCGAGGGGGAUAACUACUGGAAACGGUAGCUAAUACCGCAUACGCCCUACGGGGGAAAGCAGGGGACCUUCGGGCCUUGCGCGAUUGGAUGAACCCAGGUGGGAUUAGCUAGUUGGUGAGGUAAUGGCUCACCAAGGCGACGAUCCCUAGCUGGUCUGAGAGGAUGAUCAGCCACACUGGAACUGAGACACGGUCCAGACUCCUACGGGAGGCAGCAGUGGGG
This 288-nucleotide ribosomal RNA is filed under the name Mesorhizobium sp. RNAcentral describes it as "partial 16S ribosomal RNA". It matches the Rfam family "Bacterial small subunit ribosomal RNA", at positions 72 to 359 of the family's 1533-position model. The record is from RNAcentral. Lineage: Bacteria; Pseudomonadati; Pseudomonadota; Alphaproteobacteria; Hyphomicrobiales; Phyllobacteriaceae.